This 1748-nucleotide unclassified non-coding RNA is filed under the name Neodiprion pinetum (white pine sawfly). Its description in RNAcentral is "ninjurin-1-like, transcript variant X7". The record is from RNAcentral. Lineage: Eukaryota; Metazoa; Arthropoda; Insecta; Hymenoptera; Diprionidae.
GAUUUCGGACAGUGCGAAUCAAGAUCGCGAUCACGAAAUGUCGAUGCGCGUAGAAUGCGUUACGAAAAUCGGGAAUAACGCGUUAAUUAUGUAUCCAGGUGUACUCAACCAAACUGAAAUUUGUCAAAUUUACCAAAUUAAAUGUUACUUGAUUUAACAAUAAUAAAAUGAACAAAAAAGUACUUAAUCGGAAGAUUAACUUCUCUUAUAUCAAUCGACAAAAGCACGUAUAUUAUAACAAUUUGUAUAAUUUUAUUUCGUAUUGAUUCAAGGUGCCUUUAAAGUCUGACAGUUUGCAAUAGAAAGUAUUCUGUAACUUGUAGAAUCAAUUUGUUAUAUCAGUCUGAAACGAUCAGCUGUUCACGAAGCGCGGCGCCAUAUUGGCUAAUACAAAUCUCGGGAAUAUUGUUGCGGGGGAAAAAGAAUUGUCAUCAUCGAUGAUAUAUGGCACGAAUAAAUAAGUUAAGCGUGCAGUAACGAAUGAAUAUCGGUGUAACAUCGCGGUGGAAGAAGUGUAACAAAGAUCAUCGAAUCAUAGACGAUAAAUAAAUAGCAAUUAAAAAUAAAUAAAAUAAUUUAUAAAUCUUCAAAAAUGUCGGGGUAUGCGGAAGUGGUGAUAGAGAGUAACUUGAAACCGUCGCAGUUCGGAAAAUCCGGGGGAAAUAAUGAAGAUUUCGAAGAAACUUACGAGAGUCCGCUUGAAAAGUCUAAACCCAUGCCACCGCGGAUGAUGCCGAUGGCGGAAGCGGUCGAGGAACUGCCGCGAAACGAACCGGAAAUCAUGGAGUUUUCAAACGCGAGAAAAACGAUCGAAGAAUCGAACAACAGGGUCAAGACGUUGAACAAGCGCAGCACGGCCGGCUUUACGAACGAGGGAUUCGAUCAGGGAUCCGAGGCGAAUUUCAUACCGGAUCCUCCGACGAGAAAGAGCGAGAAUCUCGAGAGCCAGGAUCUGCAGAUCAGGCCCAAAUCUCUCGCCAGCGUCGAUCCGGAAAAGGGGAAAAACGAUCCUCCACCGCCUUCUCCGCCCGAACAGGACAAACCGGACAUUGGAUUUCGGAGCGUGAUUAAUGCUAUCAAAUCGUUGGACGUCAAUCGAUAUGCCACGAAGAAGACGAUCGCUCAAGGGAUGCUGGACAUCGCUCUUCUUACCGCUAAUGCGUCACAGCUGAAAUACAUCCUGCAGGUUGGAAAGCAGCACGAGUUCUAUAUCCUGAUGCUGUCGUUGAUCUGUACGUCAAUCGGUCUCCAGGUGAUACAAGGCGUGAUAUGCAUCCUUCUGGGAUCCAGUUUGAACAUAAACAAGCAGCAAGACCAGAGGAAGGCAAACAUUUGGAACAACAUUUGCUUGGUCCUGAUGUUGUUAACCGUCGCUGUCAACGCUGUCAUAUCGGCAUUUGAUAUGCGAGACAGUUCUGCUCUGACCGAUGUCAACACCACCAAAGGUUCUUCGACCAGCCGACUGGGAUCCGGUCUUCGAUAAACCGGCCGCUUCGAAUUUUGCCGGGUUAUCGGUAUUGUUCCACGCAAAUUAUAAGUUAUAACAGACAACAGAAAAAUGAACAGAUUUUCCUCCCGGAAUUCCUCCCCCACUUCCGCCGGUUGCACCACCUGAGGCCUCAACUUUUUUCUGUUUAGGUAUAAAUUUGUGUGAAAAAUGUAGAUUUAAUAGAAACGAGAAUUCGGUGCAUCACUCGAAUUUGAAUGAAGAUUUUGAGCGCGAUUAUAUAAUAAAUCGAUUGAUAUGC